CGGGUCGUAAAGCACUGUUGUAUGGGAAGAACAGCUAGAAUAGGAAAUGAUUUUAGUUUGACGGUACCAUACCAGAAAGGGACGGCUAAAUACGUGCCAGCAGCCGCGGUAAUACGUAUGUCCCGAGCGUUAUCCGGAUUUAUUGGGCGUAAAGCGAGCGCAGACGGUUUAUUAAGUCUGAUGUGAAAGCCCGGAGCUCAACUCCGGAAUGGCAUUGGAAACUGGUUAACUUGAGUGCAGUAGAGGUAAGUGGAACUCCAU
This 261-nucleotide ribosomal RNA is filed under the name uncultured Leuconostoc sp. Its description in RNAcentral is "partial 16S ribosomal RNA". It matches the Rfam family "Bacterial small subunit ribosomal RNA", at positions 419 to 672 of the family's 1533-position model. Lineage: Bacteria; Bacillati; Bacillota; Bacilli; Lactobacillales; Lactobacillaceae. The record is from RNAcentral.